Long non-coding RNA from Malania oleifera, 482 nucleotides. RefSeq lists it as uncharacterized. Lineage: Eukaryota; Viridiplantae; Streptophyta; Magnoliopsida; Santalales; Ximeniaceae. The transcript has 2 exons. The record is from RefSeq and is a predicted model, not a curated record.
GAGAAAAAGAAAGAGAGUGAGAGAAGGAGAAAAAGAGAGAAAAUAAGGGAGUCCAAAAUUUUGAGAAUUAGAAUUUUGGGUCUUGAGAAAUUGUAGCGUGAAGGGUUAAAUUAAGAUUCUUCACACCUAUCAGAUGAUUCUUCUAUCAAUCCUUCUAAUGAUUCUUCAAGCCCAUUUUUCCUCCUUCCUAGUGAUAAUCCAGGAUCUUUACUGGUUUAUGAGAUUUUUGCAGGAGAUAACUAUGUUGCCUGGAGCCGUUUGAUCACCAUUGCUCUCACUGUCAAGAACAAGGUGGCCUUCAUUGAUGGCUCAAUUUUUGUUGCUCCUACUACACAUUGUAUCUUACACACUGUCUGGCUUCGUGCAAACAAUUUGGUGCUUUCUUGGCUCAUGAAUUCCAUUUCUAAAGAUAUAAGAAACAAUUUAUUGUAUGUUACUUUAGCUGUUGAUCUCUGGAAUGAACUAAAGAUACAAUAUUUGAG